UACGUAGGGUGCGAGCGUUGUCCGGAAUUAUUGGGCGUAAAGGGCUCGUAGGCGGUUUGUCGCGUCGGGAGUGAAAAUCCAGGGCUUAACUCUGGACUGGCUUCCGAUACGGGCAGACUAGAGGUAUGCAGAGGAGAACGGAAUUCCUGGUGUAGCGGUGAAAUGCGCAGAUAUCAGGAGGAACACCGGUGGCGAAGGCGGCCUGCUGGGCAGUUUCGUGACACUGAGGCGCGACAGCGUGGGGAGCAAACAGG
Molecule: ribosomal RNA, 254 nt
Filed under: uncultured bacterium
Lineage: Bacteria
Description: partial 16S ribosomal RNA
Rfam family: Bacterial small subunit ribosomal RNA
Source: RNAcentral